GUUAUUUUAUAAGAGUAAUUUUAUAUUUUUGAUGGAUAAUUGAUACACCUUUUAGGAUAAAACUGUGGUGCAACUGUGGUACCGUGGUACAGUUGCAUCCAAUCGUUGAAUUUUUACUUAUUUAAGUGGACCCCACUUAUUUGAGUGGAUUCAACGACUGGUGCAACUGUGGCACGGUAUUACAAUUAUACUAUAGCCUGACCCCACAUUUUAAGCAAUAAAACUUCAAUAAAUUUAAAUUUUUGCAGUAUUCUUUUAUAAUCGAAUAAUUUUUGGAUGGAUAACUAAAAUGGUCCUUUUUUUGUUAUUCAUAGACUUUGUUAGCAGGAAGAAUAAAAAAGACGUCCACUACUCAAUCAACUAGAUGUCAUUUCAGGACGUCUUAUUGCAUUUUAUUUUUGUUCUCAUUUUUCGGUGUAUAAUUAAUGUUCACACGGAACCUGAGAUGCUGCAAAACUAUAGCUAGUUUUAAACUUUUAACUUCUAUUAAAUUAUCGCUGGGGUGUGUAAUAAUAUUCUGGUGGCAUCAAGCAGUCAAAAAAAUAAGCUUAAAGGUACCACCUCUCUCAUACGUCAUACAUUCACCAAUUUUGUGGAUUUCACCAAUAAGCUUAAAGAUAAUUACUUUUCGUCAAAGGAGAAAGAGAAAGAAAGCAAACGAAGAUAAGGUUUUUUUUUUUUUUUUUUGAAUUUGAUUAAGCAUCAUGUUACUGUAUUACACAUAUAUUUAUAAAUAAUAACAUAUUAUUACACUGAUAUUUAUAAUCAGAUAUAUACUUAAGACUUAUAUUAUUACAUUUUUAUUUUAUAAAGUACAUAUUCAGCCAAAUAUCUCUCGUGAGAGAGGGAUGUCUCUACUCCACUCGCAUUUCGCAAGGGAGAAAGACGUUAUAAAUAAUCUCCACAUAAUUAUAAUUAAUUGAGGGAGUUUGAGUAUGUGGGGACUCGAACCAUUGCCCUCAUCAUCAUUCUUGACUUUAAGAGCAAUAGUUCACCAUAGGACUAUAAGCCCAAGUGGCGAAGAUAAGAUUAAAUGCGCUUCAAACUACUUAAUUAUUACUUUAAUGUUAUCUUAAUUUACAUUUGCAAGUAAUACUGGCGACAAAUGCAUUGUCACGCAUCAAAUUAACUCGCCUGUUUGGUCCUUUUUGUUGGCUUUAUGCAUAGAUUUUUAAUAACAGAGAUCUUUUCUAAUUGAAAGCUAGCUUUACGUAAAGUUCAUUCAAUAAUCUCGUAAAAAUAAAUUAAACCUUUGCAUGUACCUGAGAAGUUAUAUAAUAAUAUUUUGUAAGCUCUCACAUGCACAAACAAAGGUACAUUAUACAAAUUAUAGUGGGUUACCAAAGUUAAUUUUCAGACAGAUGAUAGGAUUCUUUUGAACUUUGAAACGUCAAUCGUCAUCAUUGAGGCUACUAUCUGAUGUCAACAGUCACAAACAAAGAAUCUUAAUCAAAUCUUCUUUUGCACCUAAUUUAUUUAUUACGCCAAGUUUAGCAUACCACCUUUUAUUCUCGUGGUUCACACACAUAUCAUAAUCUUUUUGGGGUUAAUAUCGCAUCAGAUUCACCCAGGUGGCAGCCUAAAAUGGUCGACCAUACGUUGUGGGCCCUCUUCAUAAUUUACAUUUUUUUUUUUUGGGAAAUGACGCUCCCUAGUUUGGAUUAGUUAAACCUCAGUAUCGAUAUGGCUCAUUCGUGGAAAAUCUUUGUUCCAUUUUUUUUUUCUAUUAACUUUGUCCCUUCUGAUCUUAUAUGAUACUAUGAAAUGAUUUGAAUAACCUUCUAAAGAUGAAAAUAGUAUAAUUUUUUUUUAAUGAAAGGAAAGCAGUUUCAAAUUGAACGUUGUUAACAUAAUUUGACUUGUAUAUGAGUAUGCAGGACCACUAAAUAUAGGACAAAUUAUUUAAUUUUGGAGCUAAUAAAAAGAAAUUCCAUUCCAUCAAUUGGUACAAUAAUAACUUGUUCAACAAAAACUCAAACAAUCCACAUAAAGAUCACAUUAUGAGCGCAUUUGGCAGCUUGCAUUACACUACUGCAAUGUAUGAAAAGACUAUUUUUGUGCUAACCCAUAUUUGAUUGCAAUUUCUAAUUGUAUUGCACUGUAUUAAAAAUAUGACUAAUACAACAAAAGAGGUAUAAAAUAAAUUGAUAGGGUAAAGUUUAAGUUGUAUUUGCAUUAAAACAUUAUUUACAUUUUAA
This 2198-nucleotide long non-coding RNA is filed under the name Citrus x clementina. RNAcentral's name for it is "Citrus clementina (C. clementina) long non-coding RNA (CCLE_LNC003009)". Lineage: Eukaryota; Viridiplantae; Streptophyta; Magnoliopsida; Sapindales; Rutaceae. The record is from RNAcentral.